UGGGGGAUAUUGCACAAUGGGCGAAAGCCUGAUGCAGCGACGCCGCGUGGGGGAUGAAGGCUUUCGGGUUGUAAACCUCUUUCGCUAUCGAACAAGGCCCGCUUAGGGUGGGUUGAGGGUAGGUGGAGAAGAAGCGCCGGCUAACUACGUGCCAGCAGCCGCGGUAAUACGUAGGGCGCGAGCGUUGUCCGGAAUUAUUGGGCGUAAAGGGCUUGUAGGCGGCUUGUUGCGCCUGCUGUGAAAACGCGGGGCUUAACUUCGCGCGUGCAGUGGGUACGGGCAGGCUUGAGGGUGGUAGGGGUGACUGGAAUUCCAGGUGGAGCGGUGGAAUGCGCAGAUAUCUGGAGGAACACCGAUGGCGAAGGCAGGUCACUGGGCCAUUACUGACGCUGAGGAGCGAAAGCAUGGGUAGCGAACAGG
This 420-nucleotide ribosomal RNA is filed under the name bacterium. RNAcentral describes it as "partial 16S ribosomal RNA". It matches the Rfam family "Bacterial small subunit ribosomal RNA", at positions 355 to 776 of the family's 1533-position model. The record is from RNAcentral.